This 86-nucleotide transfer RNA is filed under the name Gemmatimonadales bacterium. RNAcentral's name for it is "tRNA-Ser". It matches the Rfam family "tRNA". From Rfam's summary of the family: Transfer RNA (tRNA) molecules are approximately 80 nucleotides in length. Their secondary structure includes four short double-helical elements and three loops (D, anti-codon, and T loops). The record is from RNAcentral. RNAcentral also lists the same sequence under 2 other names. Lineage: Bacteria; Pseudomonadati; Gemmatimonadota; Gemmatimonadia; Gemmatimonadales.
GGAGGGGUGCCGGAGAUGGCCUAACGGGCCCGCCUCGAAAGCGGUGCGUGCGAAAGCACACGAGGGUUCGAAUCCCUCCCCCUCCG